This 73-nucleotide transfer RNA is filed under the name Mus musculus (house mouse). Its description in RNAcentral is "tRNA-Ser". Lineage: Eukaryota; Metazoa; Chordata; Mammalia; Rodentia; Muridae. The record is from RNAcentral.
GGAGAGAUGGCUCAGUGGUUAAGAGCACUGACUGCUCUUCCAGAGGUCCUGAGUUUAAUUCCCAAUAACUACA